This 70-nucleotide transfer RNA is filed under the name Paramacrosteles nigromaculatus. RNAcentral's name for it is "tRNA-Ala". Lineage: Eukaryota; Metazoa; Arthropoda; Insecta; Hemiptera; Cicadellidae. The record is from RNAcentral. RNAcentral also lists the same sequence under 1 other name.
AGGAUUAUAUUUAAUUAUAAUAUUUGAUUUGCAGUCAAAAGGUAUUUCAUAUAUAAUGAAAUUAAUCUUU